UGGGGAAUUUUGGACAAUGGGGGAAACCCUGAUCCAGCCAUCCCGCGUGUGCGAUGAAGGCCUUCGGGUUGUAAAGCACUUUUGGCAGGAAAGAAACGUUAUGGAUGAAUACCCCGUGAAACGCACGGUACCUCCAGAAUAAGCACCGGCCAACAACGUGCCAGCAGCCGCGGUAAUACGUAGGGUGCAAGCGUUAAUCGGACUUACUGGGCGUAAAGCGUGCGCAGGCGGUUCGGAAAGAAAGAUGUGAAAUCCCAGAGCUCAACGUUGGAACUGGAUUUUUAUCUACCGGGCUUGAGUGUGUGAGAGGGGGGUGGAAUUCCGCGUGUAGCAGUGAAAUGCGUAGAUAUGCGGAGGAACACCGAUGGCGAAGGCAGCCUCCUGGGAUAACACUGACGCUCAUGCACGAAAGCGUGGGGAGCAAACAGG
This 429-nucleotide ribosomal RNA is filed under the name Acidobacteriota bacterium. Its description in RNAcentral is "Acidobacteria bacterium partial 16S ribosomal RNA". It matches the Rfam family "Bacterial small subunit ribosomal RNA", at positions 355 to 776 of the family's 1533-position model. The record is from RNAcentral. Lineage: Bacteria; Pseudomonadati; Acidobacteriota.